CCUACGGGCGGCAGCAGUGGGGAAUAUUGCACAAUGGGCGCAAGCCUGAUGCAGCCAUGCCGCGUGUGUGAAGAAGGCCUUCGGGUUGUAAAGCACUUUCAGCGGGGAGGAAGGCGUUAAGGUUAAUAACCUUGGCGAUUGACGUUACCCGCAGAAGAAGCACCGGCUAACUCCGUGCCAGCAGCCGCGGUAAUACGGAGGGUGCAAGCGUUAAUCGGAAUUACUGGGCGUAAAGCGCACGCAGGCGGUCUGUCAAGUCGGAUGUGAAAUCCCCGGGCUCAACCUGGGAACUGCAUUCGAAACUGGCAGGCUAGAGGCUUGUAGAGGGGGGGUAGAAUUCCAGGUGUAGCGGUGAAAUGCGUAGAGAUCUGGAGGAAUACCGGUGGCGAAGGCGGCCCCCUGGACAAAGACUGACGCUCAGGUGCGAAAGCGUGGGGAGCAAACAGGAUUAGAUACCCCAGUAGUC
RNAcentral lists this ribosomal RNA (466 nucleotides) under uncultured Klebsiella sp. Its description in RNAcentral is "bacterial SSU rRNA". It matches the Rfam family "Bacterial small subunit ribosomal RNA", at positions 338 to 795 of the family's 1533-position model. The record is from RNAcentral. Lineage: Bacteria; Pseudomonadati; Pseudomonadota; Gammaproteobacteria; Enterobacterales; Enterobacteriaceae.